UUGGAGGGCAAGUCUGGUGCCAGCAGCCGCGGUAAUUCCAGCUCCAAUAGCGUAUAUUAAAGUUGUUGCAGUUAAAAAGCUCGUAGUUGAAUUUCGGAGUUUGUCGGUCGGUCGGGCUUCACUGUCCGCACUGGCCUGAUGAAUUCCUACCUUCUGAAUAACCAGCAUGCUAUUAAGUUAGUGCGUUGGGGAAGCAGAGCUAUUACCUUGAAAAAAUUAGAGUGCUUAAAGCAGGCUUAUGCUUGAAUAGAUUAGCAUGGAAUAAUAAAAUAGGACGGCAUGGUUUUAUUUUGUUGGUUUCUAGGAUCACCGUAAUGAUUAAUAGGGAUAGUUGGGGGCAUUAGUAUUCAAUUGUCAGAGGUGAAAUUCUUGGAUUUAUUGAAGACUAACUUCUGCGAAAGCAUUUGCCAAGGAUGUUUUCAUUAAUCAAGAACGAAAGUUAGGGGAUCGAAGACGAUCGGAUACCGUCGUAGUCUUAACCAUAAACUAUGCCGACUAGGGAUCGGACGAUGUUAAUUUUUUAAUGACUCGUUCGGCGCCUUACGGGAAAC
Molecule: ribosomal RNA, 551 nt
Filed under: uncultured Acaulospora
Lineage: Eukaryota; Fungi; Glomeromycota; Glomeromycetes; Diversisporales; Acaulosporaceae
Description: SSU rRNA
Rfam family: Eukaryotic small subunit ribosomal RNA
Source: RNAcentral